Non-coding RNA from Cinara cedri, 277 nucleotides. Lineage: Eukaryota; Metazoa; Arthropoda; Insecta; Hemiptera; Aphididae. The record is from the annotation of a GenBank genome assembly.
AAAUAUCGUAUUAUUAGUGUCAUUUAGUCGUACGGAUUAUUAUCGGCUAUCGAACCGGACGAUUAGGUCAGGUCAGGUUAGAUUGGGUUGUAGGCAGUGCGGUUAACGCGCCUGUAAGCGUCGCGGCGUCUCCGCGGGAGUCGGUCAAGCGUUUUGACAACAAAUCGUUUUUUAGUUGUCCGCGGGUACCGAACAAAACACGGCGGAUUCUUUGAAGGCGGCACUCUAACCGAAAAGGUGUUUUUCGAGAAAAGAGACCCACCGGGUGAUCUGUUAA